AUUGAACGCUGGCGGCAUGCUUUACACAUGCAAGUCGAACGGCAGCGCGGGCUUCGGCCUGGCGGCGAGUGGCGAACGGGUGAGUAAUGCAUCGGAACGUGCCCAGUAGUGGGGGAUAGCCCGGCGAAAGCCGGAUUAAUACCGCAUACGACCUGAGGGUGAAAGCGGGGGACCGAAAGGCCUCGCGCUAUUGGAGCGGCCGAUGUCGGAUUAGCUAGUUGGUGGGGUAAAGGCUUACCAAGGCGACGAUCCGUAGCUGGUCUGAGAGGACGACCAGCCACACUGGGACUGAGACACGGCCCAGACUCCUACGGGAGGCAGCAGUGGGGAAUUUUGGACAAUGGGGGCAACCCUGAUCCAGCCAUGCCGCAUGCGGGAAGAAGGCCUUCGGGUUGUAAACCGCUUUUGUUCGGGAAGAAAUCCUCUGGGCUAAUACCCCGGGGGGAUGACGGUACCGGAAGAAUAAGCACCGGCUAACUACGUG
This 484-nucleotide ribosomal RNA is filed under the name uncultured bacterium. Its description in RNAcentral is "partial 16S ribosomal RNA". It matches the Rfam family "Bacterial small subunit ribosomal RNA", at positions 29 to 507 of the family's 1533-position model. The record is from RNAcentral.